This 1037-nucleotide long non-coding RNA is filed under the name Anser cygnoides (Swan goose). Its description in RNAcentral is "lncRNA (ENSACDG00005008155.1)". Lineage: Eukaryota; Metazoa; Chordata; Aves; Anseriformes; Anatidae. The record is from RNAcentral.
GGGGGGGUCACAGUGACACUGGUGGGGUCGUGGUGACACCAGGGGGUUGUGGUGACACCGGGGGGGUCGUGGUGACACCGGGGGGGUGUGGUGGCUCCAGGGGGUGGCGGUGACACCAGGGGCUCGUGGUGACACCAGGGGGUCCAUGGUGACUCUGUGGGGUCAUGGUGACACUAGGGGGUCGUGGUGACGUUGGGGGGGUUACGGUGACACCAGGGGGCUCGUGGUGACACCAGGGGGUGGUGCUGACAUCGGGAGGGUCGUGGUGACACCGGGGGGGUCACGGUGACACCGGGGAUGUUCCUCGUGCCCACCUUCCUCCAGGUCGCUGCGCGCGGCCGCCUCCAGCAGCCGGACGUUGGCGGGGAACCUCACGCGCUUCUCCGCGCCGCCCUCACCCUCGCCGUCGUCGCCGUCGCUCUUCCUCCUCCUCCUCCUCCUCGCCCCGCUGCCGCCGCCGUCGCCGCCGCCCCGCGCCUCCUUCUCCAGCUGCGCCCAGGCCUUGAGCUGCUGCGCGCGGCGCUUCUGGGCGUGCUUCAGGCGCUCGGCCGCGCUCAUCCUGCUCACCGCCGGCAUCUCCGCCAGCAGCUCCGCGUGCUCGGCCAUCGCCGCGGCGGAGGCGGAGGCGGCGGCGGCGGGGGGGGGCUCGGGGCUUGGCCGCGGGGCCCCCGGGGGCAUGCCGGUGCCGUGGGGGUCACCCCCGCGCGCCGAGCAUCGCCCGCGGCACGCGGUGGCCUUCGCUCUUCCUCCUCCUCCUCCUCUUCCUCCUCCGGGGUCCCGGUGCCGAGGCCGAAGGCUGCCGGCCUCGUUACCUGCCGGCCUCGUUAUGCUCCGGCCUCGUUACCUGCCGGCCUCAUUACUCAGCGGCCUCGUUACCCACCGGCCUCUACCUGCUGGCCUCUCUACCUCCCCACCUCGUUACCUGCCGGCCUCAUUACACUCCGGCCUCGCUACCUGCCAGCCUCUCUACCCCUGGGCCUUGUUACUCUCCAGCCUCGUUACCUGCCGGCCUCGUUACUCAGUGGCCUUGUUACCCA